This 4520-nucleotide unclassified non-coding RNA is filed under the name Leptinotarsa decemlineata (Colorado potato beetle). RNAcentral's name for it is "uncharacterized LOC111507691, transcript variant X4". Lineage: Eukaryota; Metazoa; Arthropoda; Insecta; Coleoptera; Chrysomelidae. The record is from RNAcentral.
UAACAUACUUCAUUUGUCGAAUUCACUGUUUAAUUUGAUAUUAUGAUUAUGACACUAAUAUUAUGAUUUUUCCAGUCACUAGACCUAAUUGCCCCUCGUCCUACGAACUCGUGAUUUGAUCAUAGUGAUUGCUCUCAAAUUAUUGCUAAAUAACAAAGUUUUCAUCGAAAAAUGGAAAUGUAUCGAUAACGUUUUUGUGGUCUUGUGGUAUUAAUUUCGAUAAUCUAGUUCGAUCUCCUGUAUUGAGAGGUACGCCACUGUGAAACUCCCACAACAAUAUUGAGGAUGACAAGAAGUGUAAAGGCAGCUGUUGAGAUGUCGCUUUUACUAUUUUUUUCCAUAAUGUUUCUUAGACAAACGCCAACGGAAAUGAUUCUUGAUGAAUCGCUGGUAUCAGGCCAAUGACUUUAUGAGUACGACCAUGUGUGUACAGGGUGGACUAAGUUUAAACAAAAUUAGCAUUUCUUUUGGUUUUUCAAAAGUCCGUUCUAAUUCUUCUGUUCCAAUAUCUUCAAUAACUUAAUAUUCAAAUAAUUGUAAUUGUAAUGUUCCAAUCCAGUUUCCAUGACGACAACCCUCAGAAAUCGAAAAAUGUAUGAAAUGUAUCGUCUCAAAGGGACUUGUCAAACGUACAUUCUAACGAAGAAUACUUGUUUUUCAAUCCUUUCUAAUCCUUUUCAUUUUUUACAGGACGGUGACCCAGUGGAACCGGGCAUGGACUGCCUGCAGCUACGCCAACCAGCAGGGCCCUUCCACUACCUCAUCAGCGAGCAAGCCAAGUCGCUGGUGGCCCUCCAAGAGCUCCAGCAUGAGGUGGGAGCUCUACUCGAGUUCCGCGACCUCGUCAUGGAGACGUUCCCUAACCUGCGCACCAAGUUGGCGGCUUCGACGCCAGCCACGAUGACGUCGCACCACCACCAUCACCACCACCCUAACUCAAAUAUACCCGUUUCGAUACGACCAGGCGAUUGGACGCCCGGCAUCAGGGUGCGGAAGAAAAUCGGCAGUAAAGACGAGGGGAGGAGCAAGAAGGGAGAUAUAGCGGUGCAGGACUCUGGAUUCAGUACGGAGACGUCGAGCAAGGAGACGCAUAGCGCGAGCUCAACGGUGCCACCUCCGUCGUCUACCGCUACCGGCGCUGCAGACACGGACGAAGUAGAAGACGAACUCUGGAACCUUUUGGACAUCAUCCACCGCAAAGGCAGUCGACUCAAACACGAGGCCGAGGCGCUCCAAGGCACCAUCCGCCAACAGGGCGAGAGAGACGGUGCUUUUCACAAAGAAAAUGAUGGAACGUUCCAGCGUGCUCUCUUCCACUCUUCUCCGGAUGACGCCAGGCAGCUGCGUCAAGAGCGCGACCAACUUUUGGACAGGCUGGCCGAGAUGGAGGCGGAAGUUUUGGCGGGUAGAGUGCACACCUCCAGGCUGCAAGAGGACUUGGAGUCGCUGCUCAGCGCCAAGCAGGAUCUGGAGGAGCAGCUGAAAGCGGUUGUGACGCAAAGAGGUGAAGUGAAUUCCAGGAUCCACGACUUGCACCUCCAGUUCGUGACCAAAAGCGGCUCUACGGACAGUGAGAAAAUAAACAGAUUUUCGGUCGGGGAGAGAAGAGACUCGUCGUCUUCUUCCUCCAGUCAAAGAACUAACCGGAAAAGUGUCGUUAGUGAACUCGACAGUGUCUUAGGCGAUAAGUUGCCAAAAGUUUCGACCGUAGCGGACAGUAAGAAGAUAUCCGCGAUACUGAAAGAGCACGAUCCUCUGGUGUUGCAGAAACAUCUGCUGUCGUCUACUGUGCAGAAUCAGGUUUUUCAAGAACAGCUCGAUUCUGCUAUCAGUUUGGAAGUCGAACUCAGGGACAAGCUCGACAAGUUUAAGGAGGAAAAUGAGGAUUUGCGAUUUCAGCUCCAAGACAAAAGCAUCGAACUGGAAGGCACCAGAGCGAGAGUCCGCUUGCUCGAAGACCUCCAAAAACCUCUGAACAAGAGCAGCUCCCCCGACAUCAUCCCCGUGACGUUGGAUACGACGCCGCCCGGUCGACCACCUUCGAGGACGGAAAUCUCCACGGCCAGCAUGAAGGCCAUGAGUCCGCUGACGUUGAGCAGCUUGAAGGCCGUCGCCUUGAACAUGGAUCUCUCGAGCAGUACAGAGUCUGCGCACGAUCAGUCGGCAGAGAAGGAGAGGAGGGAUAGCGCUGGGAAGUCGAGGAGGCCCAGCAAGAUCCCGUUGAAAAAUCACACGGCGCCUAAACCUCCACAAGGUAAACACAGCCCGGCACCAGGCACUCGUAACCGUAGCAGCGACUCACCAGGUAGACCGCACUCUGCACAGUCGUGGAGGAACAAGAGCGAGGGCAACAGCCUGAUCGGCUCCAAAAGCAACACCUCCCUGUCCAAGUCGAGGAACAGCUCGCUGGUCUCCGCCAAGGACUCCCUCUCCAGCAAGCUGCGCAACAGCGACUCUCUGAUGAAGCUAGCGCCUCCAGUACCCCGUGGGGGAACGCUGAAGAAGACCAGCACGCCGAUCAAGAAGGAGGGUUCCUCCGUCAGCGAAAAGAUACCAAACUCAAACUCAGCAAGAGAAAGAUCUCAGUCUCCAUGGAUUCUCUCUUCAUUUAACAGCGAUCGGGAGGCUGCCUACCCGGAUUCCUUGGACAAAAACGAUUCCAUCCAGCAAUCCAUCACUGAUAAUUCCGGCAGCCAUCGCUUCCAAACGGCCAAUACCUUUUUGUGGACUGCAGGAAAUGCCCGGGACAACAUCGAAUUUUACGACAGCAUAGACACCAACAUGGCUUCCAGCUUGUUUCACGUCAAUGGGGAAGAGUUGGCCGAGUGCGACUCCCUGGAGAGACACCUGUCGGAUUUUUCCGACAAGAAGUAGUUUUCUUCUUCUCUGGAGUUGCUGUUGGCUUGGUUGUGUUUCGCUUUGGGGUGUUUUGUUGUUGGUUUCAGCGUUUUGAUAGAAAUGUGAGGUUAAUUUGUGCAAGGCAAAUAUUGUCAUUCACGCCCUAGAGAAUUGAGUACAUAUUUCAGCUCGUCUCGGCGUUUAAGGGUAACUGGGUUGGUUUUUGUACAUUUUUUAGGUGUCUUGCAGGUCUAUUUAUAAUAUAGAAAUGUAUGAGGAAGUAAAUAGGGUGGCAGCAUUGCGUAGAGCAAGACCGCUGCGCCCCCAACGAAGCUCCCCUUAAUUAAUAACUUAAGGAGUAUGUCCAAAUGGCCACUAGAAAGAAAGGAAGAGAGAGAGAAAGAAAUUGUCACCUUCACCAUAAAAAACAAGGUUUAUGCACUUUAUUUAAAAAAAGGAGAAAUUACUGCAUGUUAGGAAGAGUUUUGUUGACUUGCUAUCGUGUUAACAGUGUACUAGGGCCGAAUAUUUGAAAUGAAUGUGAUGGAGUCGAUCAAUACAAAGAAAAUUCGUGAUAACAAUUUUAAUCAACACUAACAAGCCAUAUUUUUCACAAAUCACGUGAAAAACACAUGUCGUGUUCAUAAGUCUACAAAACGGUAACACGUGUUUCACAAAACCUUCAAUAUAUGGGAAACAUGUGUUACAGCUUUGUAAACUGUUGAGUCAUAAUCUAACAAUGAAAUUCCACCUGAAACAGAUACUAAUGUUGGUUUACUGAAAAAAAUGUUUGUUUGACUUGGAGAAUAAUGUAUAUUCAGGUAAAAUAAAUUGUUGACAACCGAAAUUUUUGGUUCCCUUGAUGUCUAUUUUCGCCAUCUUCAAAAUGUCACCAUUAACAGAGAACCGAUCAACAACUGUCCUUGAAUUCCCUAGAAAUUGCCAACUUUUCAACAAUGAAUAUAACUCCUAUAAUAAUGAAACAGCAAAAUGCUACAGGAGGUUUAAAAUUAGUUUAAACUGGAGCUCAAACUGUAGCUAGGGUUUUAAGUUUGGUUUAAACCAAACCUGCAAAACAAGCCUGAAUUCCAAACUUUAUCACAAUGGUUACUGUCUACUUUUAGUGUCAGCGGCAGUAAAAGUGGCAGCUUUGAAAAGUACUCAGAACAUCAUACAUUUUUAACGUCUCAUUAGCAUUUUUGCAUUGGAAUAAAAAAUUAUGUCUUAUUCAGAGAAAAGGGUUUCAUAGGUGGCUAACAUGGUUGUCAUACUUCCCUACUGUCACCUGUCAAUCUCCAUGAUUGCUACAGAAAACAUCGCUAGUAAAACGAGGUACUCCUAGAAUUAUAAAACAUUGGCAGAUAAUACUUUUUCCAUCAUAAGAUUACGUAUAAACUGAAGUUUCAGUGCAGCAUUGGCAUAAAUCAAAAUAACUACACCACACACUUAUGAAAUUAACGCCGGUAACCAGGCCAAGACAGGAAAAUGAAAUCAUGCCAAAAAGUAAGUAAAAAAAUUCGAAUUUGUGACUCGUUUGUGACAUUCCUAUUGUUUUUCAAAUAUUCUGAAGACUAAUAAUCUUCACUUAGAUAAUGUAAUUAACGAAAAUGAAUUCGUAGGGACCAUUCAUGAAUCGUGUCAUGAAUGUUUACUGUUUCAACUAAGGAAUAAAUAUNCUAAAU